RNAcentral lists this ribosomal RNA (468 nucleotides) under uncultured bacterium. RNAcentral's name for it is "partial 16S ribosomal RNA". It matches the Rfam family "Bacterial small subunit ribosomal RNA", at positions 28 to 507 of the family's 1533-position model. The record is from RNAcentral.
GACGAACGCUGGCGGCGUGCUUAACACAUGCAAGUCGAACGGAAAGGCCCUGCUUUUGUGGGGUUCUCGAGUGGCGAACGUGUGAGUAACAUGUGAGUAAUCUGCCCUUGAUUUUGGGAUAACUUCAGGAAACUGGCUCUUAUACCGGAUAGGAGCUCCUGCUGCAUGGUGGGGGUUGGAAAGUUUCGGCGGUUGGGGAUGGACUGGCGGCUUAUCAGCUUGUUGGUGGGGUAGUGGCUUACCAAGGCUUUGACGGGUAGCCGGCCUGAGAGGGUGACCGGCCAAAUUGGGACGGAGAUACGGCCCAGACUCCUACGGGAGGAAGCAGGGGGGAAAAUUGGAAAAUGGGCGGAAGCGUGUGGCAGCAAGGCGGCGUGCGGAAUAAGGGCUUUCGGGUGGUAAACAGCGUUGGCAGGUGAGAAGACGUGAGUGACGGUAAUAAGAAAAGAAGCAACGGCUAAAUACGUG